Molecule: long non-coding RNA, 948 nt
Filed under: Danio rerio (zebrafish)
Lineage: Eukaryota; Metazoa; Chordata; Actinopteri; Cypriniformes; Danionidae
Description: lncRNA si:dkey-159f4.2 (ENSDARG00000097667.2)
Source: RNAcentral
GACGUCCUGCGUGUGAGGUAAAGAUGAGAGUUUACACCUUGGCAGUACUUUAAAGGCUAGUGUAAUAAAAUCGCACAUUAUAAAUCAUGACUGCCAUGUCAUAACAGAUCAAGACAGCGGUCUGUCUCGCUAUCAAAGAAUGAAAACGAAGUAGUACCUUCUUUGAUGAUGGUGGGUCUUUUUCUCGGCUGGAUCUUCCUGAACUUCCCUUUAAAGUCAGCCGGAGCGAACAUAUGCAUGGAGAGACUAGCCAUCUGAACCAAAACAAUGCCAUCUCGGCUCUGAGUCUCACAAGGAUCCAGUUUGCUGUCCACCACAACUCCAGCACUACCGACAUCCUUCACGGACAUAUCCAACAGAGAGACCACUUUCACCUGCUACCGAUCAGCAUGGACUCAGAUCUCCAUAGAAGCUCAGAGAAGUCUCUUGCUGGUCCAGGCUGUUUAGCCAGUUACAGCAGCACGUCUGAAUGGGGCAGGUGUUGGAUUACUCAACAUGGACACGCCUCUUUGUCGAUCCUUUGUAGAGCAACUGAUAUUGAGUCGUCUACCGACUCUUGAUCUUAAGGGCACUUUGAAAUUGUCUUCCAUUGAUUUGAUUCCUCUCAACUAUUGGCACAGCUUUAUGCAUUAGCGGUGUUGAGUUUCAAAAGGUCUUCAUUAAAAAGCACUGAAAGCAGCGCACAACUGUGAUUUAGAAACCGUGAAAGUAGCAUGAAUGUUAAAUGGAAGAUUUAUUUUGUGUAAUGUCUAAGAUUUGAUGGAGAAAACUAAAAAAACGAUAGGAUAAACCCCCAGCUUUUUCACUAUAAACGUUUAUUUUAAGCAACGUGAGAAAUGAAGUGUUAGGCUGCCCUCUUGAGUUUAGUAGUGGUACCGUCAUUUUUAUGUGGACAAAUAAAAAUAAAAAUAAUUUAAACCAAAAUAUAAAAGUUAAGGAAUUUAAUUU